This 1371-nucleotide ribosomal RNA is filed under the name uncultured bacterium. RNAcentral describes it as "bacterial SSU rRNA". It matches the Rfam family "Bacterial small subunit ribosomal RNA", at positions 28 to 1380 of the family's 1533-position model. The record is from RNAcentral.
GAUGAACGCUGGCGGCGUGCCUAAUACAUGCAAGUCGAGCGAACGGACGAGAAGCUUGCUUCUCUGAUGUUAGCGGCGGACGGGUGAGUAACACGCGGAUAACCUACCUAUAAGACUGGGAUAACUUCGGGAAACCGGAGCUAAUACCGGAUAAUAUUUUGAACCGCAUGGUUCAAAAGUGAAAGACGGUCUUGCUGUCACUUAUAGAUGGAUCCGCGCUGCAUUAGCUAGUUGGUAAGGUAACGGCUUACCAAGGCAACGAUGCAUAGCCGACCUGAGAGGGUGAUCGGCCACACUGGAACUGAGACACGGUCCAGACUCCUACGGGAGGCAGCAGUAGGGAAUCUUCCGCAAUGGGCGAAAGCCUGACGGAGCAACGCCGCGUGAGUGAUGAAGGUCUUCGGAUCGUAAAACUCUGUUAUUAGGGAAGAACAUAUGUGUAAGUAACUGUGCACAUCUUGACGGUACCUAAUCAGAAAGCCACGGCUAACUACGUGCCAGCAGCCGCGGUAAUACGUAGGUGGCAAGCGUUAUCCGGAAUUAUUGGGCGUAAAGCGCGCGUAGGCGGUUUUUUAAGUCUGAUGUGAAAGCCCACGGCUCAACCGUGGAGGGUCAUUGGAAACUGGAAAACUUGAGUGCAGAAGAGGAAAGUGGAAUUCCAUGUGUAGCGGUGAAAUGCGCAGAGAUAUGGAGGAACACCAGUGGCGAAGGCGACUUUCUGGUCUGUAACUGACGCUGAUGUGCGAAAGCGUGGGGAUCAAACAGGAUUAGAUACCCUGGUAGUCCACGCCGUAAACGAUGAGUGCUAAGUGUUAGGGGGUUUCCGCCCCUUAGUGCUGCAGCUAACGCAUUAAGCACUCCGCCUGGGGAGUACGACCGCAAGGUUGAAACUCAAAGGAAUUGACGGGGACCCGCACAAGCGGUGGAGCAUGUGGUUUAAUUCGAAGCAACGCGAAGAACCUUACCAAAUCUUGACAUCCUUUGACAACUCUAGAGAUAGAGCCUUCCCCUUCGGGGGACAAAGUGACAGGUGGUGCAUGGUUGUCGUCAGCUCGUGUCGUGAGAUGUUGGGUUAAGUCCCGCAACGAGCGCAACCCUUAAGCUUAGUUGCCAUCAUUAAGUUGGGCACUCUAAGUUGACUGCCGGUGACAAACCGGAGGAAGGUGGGGAUGACGUCAAAUCAUCAUGCCCCUUAUGAUUUGGGCUACACACGUGCUACAAUGGACAAUACAAAGGGCAGCGAAACCGCGAGGUCAAGCAAAUCCCAUAAAGUUGUUCUCAGUUCGGAUUGUAGUCUGCAACUCGACUACAUGAAGCUGGAAUCGCUAGUAAUCGUAGAUCAGCAUGCUACGGUGAAUACGUUCCCGGGUC